AAGAUCAUUCUCCUCGCCAUUAAACGGCCCAUUCUGUGGCACGAAAGUCCAAGUUCCAGUAGUAUAACCCGCGUUAUGGCGCGACAGGCCACAGUCUCCGUUAUGGCUGCAACGUGAAAAGGAAGGAAUGGAAAAAAAGAAAGGUAAAAAGGGAAGAAUGGAGGAAAGAGUAUGGCGGUUGGCCACGAGUCGUUAAAGUUUCGCAAGAUAAACGACGAGUGGCAGCAAGCUAGAGGACGAGUGAUAUUACGCGCGAAAAGGCGCUCGAGCUUGCACGACCUAGAAAUGGUUUACCGUCUACGUCAAUGCCGAGCAACGGAGAAUAAGGUUUAAACGGGAUAGUAGGCAGCCACUUUAAGGCUGGCGAUAAAAAAACAGAUCGACCGACCGACCCGUCUUCCUGCCUCGAGAGCGGUGGCGAGUGUUAUUUUAGAAUUAAGGGCAACUGCCGACGCGGCAAUCGUACACAAGGCCGAUACACAAUCGGAAAAACAACGUUUGUCGAUGAUGAGUCUGGUUCCGAGAGGAAAUUAUUGUUCCAGGUGUCCGCCGUUCCAAAUAACAGCGAUGACCGACAUUUGAUACGACGUUUCGUUGGAUCGCUGUCUUGGGGAGAACGCAAGAGAGAAAUAUGAUAAAUACACUUUUAUUGAUUUUCUGGCUUUGAUGUUGGUACAUGAUUAAACAACUUUAAUACGACACAAUUGAAAACAAUCUGUUCGGUCCAAAGAUACGUGUCUUAAAAGUAACUGAUAGGUUGAUGCUUCGUGGAAGCUAAAUAAUAUAGAACAAACGAUGGCGCUAGGAAUUACAAGAAGACAUUUUCCACAUGAAUUCGUCGUCACUGAAGGAAACAGUCAGCAAAAUUGAAUUAACGAUCGUCGACGGUAAGCACGGAAGACAAUUUACAGGGGACUUUUUGCUCGAAGACUUUCGAUUUAUGGGGUACGAGUUUCACCUCGUUCUCAGAAGGUAAUGAGCUGGAAUCUUAAAGACGUAACGAUAGAACGUUCAAAUGAGUGCAAAAGUUUAAGCGAGUCACUAUCAAUUUUAUAGAACUUUACAAGUCGAGCAUAAAUCGUUCAGAUUCGUUUACAUUCGAUUCGUGUUCGUUUACAUUUAAAUUGGCCACUGUUUAUACAGUUACAUGAUAUAGUUCAACUAUGUAGAAUACGAUAUUACUU
Long non-coding RNA from Bombus huntii, 1184 nucleotides. RefSeq lists it as uncharacterized. NCBI's taxonomy places the organism in Eukaryota, Metazoa, Arthropoda, Insecta, Hymenoptera, Apidae. The record is from RefSeq and is a predicted model, not a curated record. The transcript has 3 exons.